Ictalurus punctatus (channel catfish) is the source of this 9510-nucleotide long non-coding RNA. The record is from Ensembl. Lineage: Eukaryota; Metazoa; Chordata; Actinopteri; Siluriformes; Ictaluridae.
CUUCGUGAUGCGGAGAAAAAGCUUACCUCGGCAUUCAGAGGUGCGUAUGAAGGAGGGGGAGGGGGGAGCGCUACAUGCUGCAGUGGGCCAUGUGCUAGCUAGACUUUUUUUUAUCUCCUUUGUGCUGGAUCAUCAUGUUUCACUGAGAGUUUCUUUACUCAAAACGUCCACUGAGGGACGUUUCGCAAAAGUGUCUCGCUGGCAAAAGUUUAUUUCUUUAUUUAUUUGUCGUAACUGGGACGGGGUUCGGUUUUAAAGACCGCCGGAGGACUAAAACCCGGCCUGUUUCCACACCGGAUAAAACGACGUACGUACUAGCGGCGCUAGUUUACGCUAUAGUAAGGAGUGAAACGUCGCGUCAUGCCGUCGGAGGAAAAUAAUCGACGGUAAAUUCGAUUCGACGUGACGUGACGUGACGUGACGUGAUCUCAACGUCGCUUCUUUUCUAAAAACAGCACGUCCUGAAGCGUUUGCAUCCUUCUUCUUCUGUCGCAGCGACCGCAUCCGACAACGACGAAGAUUCCUUUAGUAAAAUACGACAUUCCACUACGUUUUUAUCCGUUUACGGUUGCGUUUAUCGUCGUGGGACUUCAGUGAAACCAGUUUGCUCGCGUUCUCACUUACCUUAUAGCGGCUACGAACGAUCCUUAGCGCUUCAGCCUCUCUUUGUCGCUUUCGUGACGUUAAUAAGAUCAUUAAAAAAAAAAUAAAUAAAAAAAAAUUAAAAAAAGCCGGAAACUACCUAAAAAAACUUGACCUCUGAGCAUUACAAAAAAUGCUGACACUGGAGACUCCUUCCAUACUUUUCAGUGACUUGUAGAUGGAACUACUGUCAGACCUGCCGCUAUAGUAAACGAAUCGAGGACCGACAACCUUCUGACCAAUCACAAUCCAGGACUCAACGGCACCCUGGUACGACGUAGAGCGGCAACAGAAAUGCGUAGAAUGUUUCCCAGAUACUUCGAGGAGUUUCUAAGAGGAUUGGAUUUAUCGAGCGUUGGCGCGAUACUCAGAACUUAGAAAGAUGGAGUGAGGAUAACGGACACUCGCCUGAUAAAUGAGUGCGUCAGGCAGUCUGUGGCUAUGGUGAGAGGUUUGAUAAAGAGGACCCCCACCCUCUCCCAAACCCUCCACCCUUCACAGGCUCAAUAACACUACGGGGAUUUAUUGCCCAAAACAGUAAGCUAAUACUGCAGGCUUUCAGCUCACUGGCUUUAGAUCUGCUAUCUGUCUCCAGCGUCAAGCCGUUGCCAGAUCUGUAAUUAAGACCCGGGCUUUGUUGGCAACCUGAGACUGAGACCUUUUCUAAAGACAGAACCCCAUUUUCCAUGUGAGCAUCCCUUUAAAGAAGCCGAAUGUACAGGGAAAGGUCAGACUCGACGGCAAACUUCUUCCCGUUCGAUUUUUUUUUUUUUUCCGCGACCGGUCCAGCGCGUGCGAUUCAUUAAUCGCCGUUCUACUCGGAUGGAAUAUUUACCGAGGAUACGCGGCACAAAGGAGCUCAUCCUGCUUCGCGUCGUCCUGCCCGCUAGGCUACAGUCUGGCAACUCAUCGGAUUAAAAAAAAGAAGAAAAGAAAAAAGAGAGAGAAGAAAACAAAACCAUGAAUUGUUGGAAGAAGAAAAAAAAAAAAAAAAGCGGAGACUCGUGUCGCUCAUCGAACAGCAGAAAGGAUCCGUGGUGAAUUUUUUCGACGAUUUCCGUCCUGUGCUGUGGAUACCGUGACGGACGGCCCUGCGGUUUUCCUGCUUAGAUUUUUUCCCCCCGAUUGGCACUCCUGUACAUAGUUUCAUUUCUGAAUUUCCAUUUGUGUGUGGCCUUCUAGGCAGUGCAGCAUAUGGUACUGGGUAGGAAAGACUGAAGAAGCGUUUUUCUUUUCUUUUCUUUUCUUUCCGUGAAUGUUAUUGCAGCAGGUUUAGCUGUAGCUGGUGCAGUAUGGAUCAGACCAGACGAGCGGAUUUCUCUUUACCGUAUAGCGUAGGAUUUUCAGAGCUGAGGAAACGGACAACCUGACCUCUGACCUCAGCUCAUCGGUGGUGAAUUAACCAUGUCAAGAGGGCCAUCCUCAGGGUGCUUGUGAGACGUCCUCGAGGACCCAGCCCAGAGAACACAGCUAACCAAACACACAUCUCAGAGCUACACUGGUAAGUACCAGUGACGUCAUAAAUUCCUGUGAGACACAUGCUGAUAAGCGGGCAUGCAGCAGACUGCGAUAUUCAUCUUGCACAUUUUUGUUAGUGUGGACUUGUCAGAUAUCAUCACUGCUAUAAAGACUGAGGCUGCCUAGGCAUGUUAGGGAUGGGAGAAUAAGGAGAGCCAUCAUGUACAAUGUUAGAAAAACUAAAAAUGGUUCCUCAAGAUGAUUCUCUUAGGAUAGAUAGCCCAAGAGCUCGGCAUUUAUUUAUUUAUUUUUCUGAAAGGGAACUCCUCUAUUUUAGCGACUGACUGAAGAACCCUUUAGGGCGUUGGAUGGAACUACAUGGUUCCCUACUUUGGGUGAGAAAUAAGAGUAAACACUUUCAAAGUUCUCUGAGGGUUCUUUUAACAGUUCUAGUUCUGUAAAGAAGCUUUACAAGUCGUUGUUUUCUUUUUCCUGAGAGAGAUCCUCCGUAUAGCCCUUAUGAGGUUCCCCUGAAGGAAUAAUCUGAAGAACUCAGGUUCCUUUAUUUGGAAAACAUAAACGCCUUUUAGGGGGUUCCCCUAGAGGAACAACCUGAAGAACUUCCUUAAGGGGUUCCUUAUUGUGUAAGAAUAAAUAAGUAAAUAAAUAAAUAAAUGUAGGGAUCUACGUAAACCCAUUGAGGGGGUUCCCCCUAGAGGAGCAAAAUUAGAUUCAUUUCUUUGGGGGGGGGGUUUAGAUCUCAAGGAUUCUUAGCAAGUGUAAGAUCCAAGCUUCCUGUAGAGGAAAGUUCUCUGUUCUGGGGUUCUCCACGGACCAUUUUUAAGCGUGAAAGCUCUUCCAAAAGCGUGCUGGAAAAGUUCUUUGAAUGUUUCUUUGAACGCUCUACAAAGGGCUGUACUUGGAAACUUUAGGGUGAAUUUGUACUAUUUACACACACCAUGGAGAUAGAGGCCUAUAUAUACAUGAUUCUGCGGAGGACCAGUCCGGAGAACCUCAGCCCGUCACGCUAAGUGAUCUGCUGCCAAAUAAGAUCUCUCGCUGUGAACCAGUGACCGUUGAAAUAUGUGACAUGCCUCCAUUUCUAAUUCUUUGCUGAGAGAUUUAUGCUGUGUGCUUCCAGUGUGUUCUUUGAGCGAGGCCAGUGCUAAUCAGGAAGGAAGAAUUCAGUUCCACCAUGCGUCUCAGCAUGUCUGGGACAUUCAACACGGUUAUAAACCUUUCUCUGCGUACCCACGUUCACACUGUUCGGGUCGAUGUUUGUUUGUUCGGAAGUAUACCGAUAGCCAAACCGCCAUGCGAAUAUUGUCGUCCUUCGCCAGGAUUUGGAUAUCAUUUUGUCCUGUACUGAAGAUGGACCGACGUCCUAUGUCUCACUGUAUCAGAGGGAAGUAAUUGUAGCGUAAUCCUGGCCUCAUGUAAUGAAGCUUCUGACUCAAUAAUGCUAGCUAUCAUGGAGAUAUUGGAGGAAACAUUUCAGAAUGUCCUGAUGUCCUUCGCCGUCACGCAAAGUGGGUGAGAUCCAUUCCAGUCAGGGGGAAUGAAGUGAACAAGUGGAAGCGUCUGUCAGCCUGAUCAGACCGGCCACUUUGCAGACAGGAUUAAAAAUCAUUUAGAGUUCACUGACUGAGAGACAUGUGGUUGGUUUUCUGUGAAACAAAAGACACUGAGCUGAUUGGAAAUGGUCUCUAUCAUCAAAUUAGUGGGACAAUGGACAGUUUGUCCUCCCGCCUGGUCCGUCGCUCACUCUUGCUCAUCGUUUUGCACACAGAUUGCUUUUCACGUUCCUCAGUAGUUCUUUGAGGGUUCUUUGAAUCCUUUUUUUUUAACCCUUGAAAUAGAUAUCCUCUGUUGUACUGUAGGGUUUUACAUAAACAUGUUAACGUCUCCCCUAGUGGAACAACCCGUAGAACUCUUACAACUUGUAGAUGUUCUAUUGUGGUUUUUUUGUUGUUGAUUUUUUGCAGUUAAAGUGCUACCUAAUGUGCCUAAAAAGAUUUUAUUCACUAUCUAGCUAUAAAGGGUAGUGAUGUAAAUACCUGUACUUGGUUUCCAUGUUUAUCAGAAUAUCAGGGUUCUUUUUUCCUGAAAAACAAAACAAAACAAAACAGUUUGUCUAGAGUUCUUUGGAUGGGUAUUGGGUUGUACUUCAACGAUGUAGGUUCUCUCGCUCUUAUAAGUUCUACGUAGAACCUUCAAGAAUUCCCCUGAAAGAACAACUUGGGCUGCAACAACUUAUUGAUAAAAAUCGAUCAUAAUCGAUAAAUAAAAUAAUAAUUAUGGAUAAUUCGGGUCUGUGACGUCACUGUGGAGACUGUGUUAGGUUAGGUUAGACCUAAUCCAAACCCAUACCCUAAUCCAUACCCAUACCCUAACCCAAACCCAUACCCAAACCCAUACACAAACCCAAACCCAUACCCUAAUCCAUACCCGUACCCUGACCAAAACCCAUACCCUAACCCAUACCCUAAUCCAUACCCAUACCCUAACCCAAACCCAUACCCUAACCCAUACCCUAACCCAAACCCAUACCCUAACCCAUAGCCUAACCCAUACCCUAAUCCAUACCCAUACCCUAACCCAAACCCAUACCCUAAUCCAUACCCAUACCCAAACCCAAACCCAUACCCUAACCCAUACCCUAAUCCAUACCCAUACCCUAACCCAUACCCUAAUCCAUACCCAUACCCUAACCCAUACCCUAAUCCAUACCCAUACCCUAACCCAAACCCAUACCCUAACCCUAGCGUUUUUAAUGCUUUAAAGCUUGUGGACAAUCAGUUGUUUUAUUUUGUUUUUGUUUUCAAAAUAUAAAGUUUUUUUUUUAAAGGCAAAAAAAAUUGUAAUCCGAAUUAAUCGAUCGAUCGGAGAAAUAAUCGACAGAUUAAUCGAUCAUUAAAAUAAUCGUUCGUUGCAGCCCUUAAUUGAGGAAACCCAUAGGGUCCUGUAUGAUUUUAAUGUGUCUUUCGGUUCUUGCUGGUCGCAUCUCAUCACAUCCAAUCAGAUAGCGCACACCAGGGGUGUCUGAUCUUAUCUGCAAAGUGCCAGUGUGGCUGCUAGUUCUCAUUCUGGUCAGUCAAAAGCCAUACCUGAUUCUACCUGUUGAUCGUAGCCUUCAGAUAGUCAACUAUCAGCUGCGACUCCUGCUUGGUUGAAACAAAACCUGCUGCCACACUGGAUAAGAUCAGACACCCGUGGCAUAGGCAGAUUGUAGCAGCUCUGGUUGGAGCAUCAGUGCAGCGCAAUGGCAGCGUGUGUACUAUUGCUGCCUCUCAACUCCAGAAUCCCUGGUUCAAUCAUGAGCUUGGGCUGCUGUUAGUUUCCUCCAGGUUCUUCAGGUUCCCUCCGUCUCUGAUUGGUCGUUUGGCUCUGUAAAUUGCCUUGGGGUCCUAUCCAGGGUGUAUUCCCACCUUGGGAUUGGCUAUGGCUAUCCACCACAUCCCUAACCAGGACAGAGCACUUAUUAGAAAUGAAUAAAUGAAAGAAAUCAUGUCUUGUGGAAUCGCAGUGUCUUUUGACUGGCAGGAACUUCUCAUGAUAUAUCGCUUGCCUGCGACUUGAACGAACAUUUUUAAUCUCUGAAAGGGUGGAAUACCUCAUGUAGCUCCAUGUAAUCUCUUAAACUAGGACACGCGAACAAAUCCAUGUAUUGCGCAAUUGUUUGUUGGACUUCUGAGAAAUUGUUCAUGCUGUGUUCUUCGAGCUGUGCAGUGAGGCGUGUACUCGAGCUAACAAGCAGCAACAUUUCAGAUUUCCCCUCAAAGCUGAUUGGCUCAGUGCCAACAUUCUGGUCAAUUGAACAUGUUGAAUACAUGACUGAGACAACAAGCAUGUGUUCGAGUACUCUCAUUCCCCGAAAUGAAUUUAUAUAGUCUGUUUGGGUUCUCAAAAAAAAAAAAAAAAAAACUACUGACAACAAGUCAUGCUUGUGUGGCUAACAUCUGAAUGAAAAUGCUAUGAAAAUGCCAGGUUUAAAUGUGAGGUGAUGUCACUUUGUGUACAUUGCAGGGCUCGACAUUAACGCGUGUCCACUUGUACAGGGCAAGUGAAUUUAAGACAGUUUUCUCCUUGAGCGCCAUCAAGUCGUCCUUUUAUGUAACUUCAGCGCUUCCGGGCACGUGAACAAAAGCGCGAAUCUCAUUGGUCGGCCAGUUUUUGACGUGGCGCGUCAAAAAAAACUCUAACCCCUCGACAUUAAAAAAAUUUGACGCUCUGGGAGUGAGCACUCCCAUUGACAGCCUUUGGGGCGUUAAACUGACUGUUGUGAAUAGGGCUUACAGUGUAAUGAGCUGAUAGAACACUGAUGUGAGUAUAUUACUUCUAAAUAAUUAUAUUUACACCACCAUUUUUUCCCCCUUUUUUUAACAAAUUUACUUGUCCGAAGGACAACCACAUGACAGUGCUGCAUUCUAUACAGCCCUGAAUACAAUACAGCUCUGUGCUGCCCUUCCUUCAGUUAUGUCAAAGUAUUUCCACAUGUCACUGGCCAUUUUCGAAGCUAUAAGAUUGCUAGCUUGUGGUAUAGCUCUGGUCAAGAAUAAGAGGCUCUAAAUGUUCUUGUAACUGACUCUGAGAUUAUUGCCUGUCUUUGUAGACUGUAAGUUUCUGCCUCCAUAGUUACUGUAACCAAUCAGAUUUCCUUUCUAGGCCACAAUGCCUCUGUAACCAUCUGAGCAGCAGUUUGUGUCCACUGCUGUAACCACAGCUCCUACUCACAAUGGCAUUGAAACUAAUAGCAACACAAAGCUACUGUAAACAGUCAUAUUGCAGUUCCUGCCCCAAAGACCAAUGUACCCAAUCAGACUGCAGUUCCUGCCCCAAAGACCAAUGUACCCAAUCAGACUGCAGUUCCUGCCCAAAAGACCAAUGUACCCAGUCAGACUGCAGUUCCUGCCCAAAAGACCAAUGUACCCAGUCAGACUGCAGUUCCUGCCCAAAAGACCAAUGUACCCAGUCAGACUGCAGUUCCUGCCCAAAAGACCAAUGUACCCAGUCAGACUGCAGUUCCUGCCCAAAAGACCAAUGUACCCAAUCAGACUGCGUAUCCUACCCCAAAGACCAAUGUACCCAAUCAGACUGCGUUUCCUGCCCAAAAGACCAAUGUACCCAAUCAGACUGCAGUUCCUGCCCAAAAGACCAAUGUACCCAAUCAGACUGCAGUUCCUGCCCAAAAGACCAAUGUACCCAAUCAGACUGCGUAUCCUACCCCAAAGACCAAUGUACCCAAUCAGACUGCAGUUCCUGCCCCAAAGACCAAUGUGCCCAAUCAGACUGUGGUUGCUUCCCAAAAGACCAAUGUACCCAAAUAAAGCUUUUAUUUGUUGCAUACAUUACAGUAUAGUGAACAUCUGUUCUUUGCAUAUCCUAGCUUGUUAGGAAGUUGGGGUCAGAGAGGCAGGGCAGCUCCUGGAGCUGGUAGGGUCAUACUCAAGGGCCCAACCGUGUCAACUCGGUGGUUCUGGGGCUUGAAUGUCCGAUCUUCUGAUCAGUAACCCAGAGCCUUAACUACCGAGCCACCCUUGCUUACCCAUAAGAAUUCUGUAACCAAAUUGCCACUGUAUCCAAUGAGACUGCAGGUCCUGUUGAACUGCCAUUGUAACCAAUCAGAUCUAUAGUUUCUGUCUAAAAUGCCACUGUUACCAAUUAGACCGCAGAAAGCAACGUUUGGUAAAAAUGUAAUAAACAAAUGUGGAAGACUUACACAUAAGCAAAUGAAUAAAUGAUUACGGUUUCACACAAUUUCUGCAUGGUCAUGACUCUGAUCAUUGAAUUCUUGUGUCGUUUUUGUAGUCUGUAAUUUUUUUUUUUACAUGUAUUUUUGAAGCUCAUAACUUAUGACCAGUCAAGUCUAGUUCAAAUCGGAUUAUUCUGAAGCGGCUCUGUCGAGUUAAUGUUUUAUACGUCACGGAAACCUCUCUAGACUCAUGUAGAGACUCGUUUCAUAUAUAAACUCGUGUCAGUAUAGAAACCAGAGUCAGAUGUGACUGUGAGACGUUUUCCACGUAGGGAGUUGGGAGGUGGGUGGGGGUGGGGGUGCGGUCAGAAACCCCACAUUAGGAGGUGUGUUUGUGGUGCGACGUGAAGGGAGUGCGGGCUUAACACUGAUGUUAUAGUCAUCAGGGCCUCACAAUCCAGAUUUAGACGCAAGACGCGUCUGUUUCUCGGAGGUUGGGGGAUGGGGAGGGAACUGCAGGAACGAUGUUGCAGACCGUCGCUCAUUUACAGCCGAACAUUCUUAACACCUCAUAAAUGUAACUUGCCACCAGGACUCCAGAACCCCCAAGCUCCCAGCAUGCCAAGCUCGAGUCGAGCGUAUAGCCUUUCUAUACGCGUCCCCCCAGUAAUAAAAAGACACGAUAAUGGUCUGAUCCGUCGAUCAUAGAUUACAGGACAUGGUUAUGGGAGGAAUGACUUAGCAUGCGAGCUGCGUUAGCACAGAGAAAGUACAGAGUACUUCCGCCUUCUUAUACAGAAUACAUAAAGAAAGUCUGAACUAAACUUCAUAAUGAGAGAUAUGAUAAUAUCAUGUCCAUAUUGCUAUAUUAACAUCAUAAUACUCUUCUGCGUAUUCUUUUAUUUGUAUAUAUCUUCAGGUGGCAGCGUUUUUUCAAACUCACCGUUUUACUAUUCACCCUUACUUAGUUAAAUACUUUCUUUCUUUUCUUUUUUUUUGUAAGAAUUGAAUUGAAACAAUCUUUGAACUUAUGGAUUUAAAAACAAAAACGAAAUACCACCGGACAUGCAGUCUGAUAGGUAACAUACAGUCCCCUCUGAAAGUAUUGGCACCCUGCGAGGGGACCGUAGCAGCACGACGUCGGGGUCCCAGACGAAGUCCAAUACACUUCCUCUAGGUCAUUUAGUUUAUAGGUGACCUCCCAUGUUUGUGUUUUGAUUUUGAUUUUAUUUUAUUUUAAUUUUUUCCAUUAUCCCCCGGCUCUCGGUUAGCGUUUGUGAGUCUCGUCUUGUCUUGUACGACUGAAAAUAACUGCCCCCCGGGGGGCAUCGCCAAGAUGGCCGCUGAGUGAACUUUGGACAAAGACUCUUGUAGUGUGUUUUUAUUCAUUUAUUUGUUUGUUCAUUUUCGAGGAUGAAUUUUGACACUAUCCUGUCAUUGUGAGGGCGUUCAGUCCUUUUUGGUCCUCACGAACAGCUAAGUAUUUGUACACACACACACACACACACACACAUGUUGAAGAAGACCCUUCCAUCCUGCCAGACUCUUUGCCUACCACUGUUAGUGUGUGUGUGUGUGUGUGUGUGUGUGUGUGUGUGUGUGUGUGUGUGUGUGUGUGUGUGUACAUAUGUGUUCUAUAUCUCCUUUCUUUCUUUUCUAUUCAUUCUUUUAUACAGUCACCAGUGGAAGUUUCAGGCCAUGCUAUUUUUAACAUAACG